UUAUAAUCGCGGCGUUCUGGUGCCCGCGCAUGCCAUCUGCAUGCGCAGUUAAACGGGAAACACGAGGCAAAGGCGCUGCGCGCCGGCGCCGAGGUGUGCUGCCCCCGCAACGGUCAACAAGCACCGCCCGCGCCUGACAGAACUCCGAUUGCUGCGUUGCAUUCGUCUCGCCGUACUCGCGUACCGUCUUCGACGAUGCGCCUUGCUCUCGGGCCCCUGUCAGGCGCGGUCGAUAGGCUGCUCCGAUUACCACUGUGCAUGAAGCAUAGGAAGGUGGGGCGGUCAGUCUUGCAAGCCCGGAUACCGGCCAGACAGGUGGAAGCGCG
This 326-nucleotide non-coding RNA is filed under the name Massilia consociata. RNAcentral also lists the same sequence under 1 other name. Lineage: Bacteria; Pseudomonadati; Pseudomonadota; Betaproteobacteria; Burkholderiales; Oxalobacteraceae. The record is from RNAcentral.